GUCAAACUAGGGAAAAGAUAAGUUAGUUUACCAGAAAGUUCAAAAUCAUAUGUCUGCGUGUUGUGCUCCACAUAGGAUCAGCAUGAAUGCCUACAUAACCUGCCCAUACACAUCAGGAUGAGAUGGAUAAAAAUAAAGAAAGAUAAGAAUAACUGCCUUGUAAGAGAAGGCAAUACAUACAAUCCAGACAAGCACAUGAAUUAUAGAUCUUACAUGUCAAAUUGAGAUCUUUGAAUGGCUAUUUUUCCUUGCCUAAUUAAUUAAGCAACACUUCAAGGAUGACCCUCACAUGUUCCUAAGGGGACAGGCAAGUGGUGGCUAUGAAUCAUCACUACUGUAUGUACAAUAAUGUCAUAAAUUCAAAUUUUUCACCUUGUCAACUUUAACACACAAGACUGGUAAAACUAACUUGAGAAAAAUUCGAAAGCAUAUGACGGCUAACCUAAUAGUAACAAUAUGAUUCUCAACAAUGUCCCUCUUGAGAUUAAGAACAAUUGUUUUUAGUUUAAACAACUGCUUAAUCAUAAAGAAUUACCUACAAAAUAACCAGUUAAUUUUCAUGGGAACGAAGUUGAGUCGAUUAAGCCAAAUUAAACUACCUUACUAGUUCGGAAGAGAUAACUUCAAUAUGUGAAACUUUCUCUUACUUUGGCUCAACUUACAAAAGAAGGCAGCAUCAUAAAGCAAAUCUGUCAACUAAUCUAAAGUUAUAAAAAAAAAAAAUACACAUGUGCACACAAAUCUUAAUGACAAUGAGUCAGCAUGAGAUUAGUUUACUGUAAUUGACCAGACAGCUAAAAGAAGACAUUUUCAAUACCUUACGAGAAAAGAGAAAAAGAUAUAAAAGGAAUUUAGAAAAUAAAGGGAGUGGUUGAACAUGCACUGCACUUUGAUUGUUUUUAGAAUAUUUCAAAUUUCAAUCAACAAAAAGAUUAUUGAAGACACUCCCAUCUCCCUGACAACCUUUUUCUUCUUGAUACAAAAGAAAAUUCUGAAAAAGCAUAUGCAUGACCUUUUUUGGUUAUUUCAGAUGACCCAUAGCUGACUCAUGCAACAAUCAGUUAAAAGAUUCACCAACUCCUCUGCAAGCACCUAUAUAUAAUGCUACAUGGAAUGCUUUUAAACCAUCAACCAAACUUAAAUAUUUCUCACAUACCUUCAAAAUACGGUAAUACUCCACCUCAAAUCAGAACCACAAUGAAGAACUUACUCCGUGGAAAUUUGGUGGGUAUUCCCAUGAGUACAACAAUAUGUUCACUUGAAAGGCAGCCGAAAAAACUAUUUGCCCUAUCUGCUUGCGAAGACCAUAUCGUUCCAUAUGCAACUUUAAAGAACUUGUCUCAAAUUAAGCAAAGUGAGUGUUUCCCUGGUCCCUUAAGGAAGAAUCAACUUGAUCUGACCCUUGAAUGUAGAGAUCAUAAAAAUAACAAUAUUCUUGAAUAUGCAGGAAAAUAUGUCAUUGGUAAGAUUAACAAAUUGGGAGAAAGGGUGGAUUGUCUUGUACAAAGCAUCCGUGAGCAUGGUAAGCACUUAAGUUCGCUACAAAAAACUUAAAUAUAUUUAUUGAAAAUAUUACUAAGAUAAUAUUAUGUUCAAGUCGGAAAAUAAGUAUUUGAACUUGGAGUUGAAAGGAGUAUUUGGGAAUUGAAAUUGUGUCUGGACAUGAAUUUUGUUUGAAAAAAAAGUUUGUAAGCGAAAACAAUUAUCUCACACAAAAAUACUACUCAGACAAGUUAAUUCAAUACUACACCUGUCUUUCAAAUGCUAAAAUCACCAACUGUGAAUACUGAUGGACAAACUUUACCUCAAGUAUUUGCAAGUGAUGUCAUGACCAAACACUAUUGUAAAUCUAAAGAACUCAGAGAAGUGAGUCAUAAAGUAAAAAAUUCAUGCAAGAAACACAUGUAUACAUGAUAGAAAGCAUUGAUUUUAAAUGUACUCUAAUUGUGCAGUGAGCCUAAGCCCGAAACUAACAGAAACUUUAAAGGGAAAAUUGAGCCUUGGAGCAAAAAUUCUUCAAGUAGGAGGGUUGGAGAAAAUAUUCAGGCAGAAGUUCAGUCUUAGAGAUGAUGAAAAGCUAUUGAAAGUUUGUCAAUGCUAUUUAUCAACUACAGCUGGUCCAAUAGCAGGCCUUCUCUUCAUCUCUACCGCUAAGAUUGCUUUCUGCAGUGAGAGAUCAAUAAAGCUCUUAUCUCCAACUGAAAAGUUGCUUAGAACUUACUAUAAGGUACCACUCUGCUCCGUUUGUCUUUCAACUCUUAAUUUUCUAACCAUGUAAAGCAUAAUCUAACUGGUUCACAAUGGCAGGUAUCAAUCCCAAUAAGUAAGCUACUGAAAGCAAAGGAGAGCAAGAAUAUGCAAAAGCCAUCACAGAAGUAUAUACAAGUAAUUACAGAGGAUGAUUUUGAGUUCUGGUUUAUGGGAUUUCUCAAUCAUCAAAAGACACUGAGAUAUCUGCAGCAGGCAAUCUCCAGCUCAAGGAAGUUAUGAAGACAACAUUUUUUCCUUUUGUUCAUUUCUUUUCCAAGGAGCUCGUUCUUCAAUGUAAAACGUUCAUGCAAAAACGAACUCAGGGAUCUGUUAAAACUUUGUAACUAGAUCCAUUGCUCAAAGGAGGCUUUAGGUUUAAGCUUUGUGCCCUUAUGAGUUAAUGGGAAUGUACAGACUUUUUUUUUUAGAUACGAAUGUAUAAAUUUAUUAUAAAACUUGUGCAGAUAGAUUGGUUUUUUUUGUAGAUUCAUUUAUCUUUCUACUUGUCCUUAGAGUAGACUUUAUGACCCAAGUGGUAGAUACGAAAACAAGAACAAUAUGCUAGUUAUAGAAUUAGCAUUUUAGAUUGUUUAUAUGCAAAUUUAAUACUGCAUUCACAAGCUUUGCUGCCUACAAGUUCUUUAAGUACGAUAUAUAGUGUCUUCAAAUUAUUUAUCUUUUGGAUAAAAUGAAAUAAGAUAUAAAAUCUGCAGUUGUGAAGUCAGUUUGAGGGAUAUUUCCCUGUUGUAAUUCAAUAUGCUGAGGCCGGAAACCACACUAUAUCAAUUUAAGAAUCUAAGUGAUCAUCAUCAUUUUUCUGGUCUGUAGUUCCUCACACCUUGAGAUAAGAAAAGGUGUAGCCAUUCUCACAAUGGAAUGCUACCCAUUCAUGAAAAGUGAACUGGUAUCAGCGUCCAUAAAAUGAUGAACCAGCCAAUUUGAAAUACUAAAAUUGGCAGUGUGUUUAACUUCUCUGCAUUUUACACUAUCAAGUUACAUAAAUGAUAACCACAGGUAACUGUUUAAAAAAGGUGGAUUUAGUAACCUGAAAAUCUGGGCAAGUUGCCUGCUACAAGACAUUAAUAUACACUGUCAAUGUAAAGGCAACUUACCUACUAUAACAUGCUAAAAUACACUAUCAACGUGAAAAAAAAAUGUUAUACCGUCACUAAAAUACACUUGGUUUGUUGUUGAUAUCUCGUGUAAUAGCAAAACAUUCUCAAACUUCAUAUUACUACAUAUUUAUGACAUAAACCCAAAAAACAAACCAAAUACAAUCAAUCUAUACUUCUUGAUCAUAGAUGUAGUCAAAGCACCCUAAGUAAGUGAUCAAAAUCCGGUGUGGAUCUCACACCCACACUUUUGUCGUGUUGACACGUGUGUGGUAGGAAUUUUGAAGAGUCUGAGUACUAUAGAUAAACCAUGAUAGUAGAGUACCAUACCCCUAAACUCAACAUCCAAAAGAAGGCACAAGACUUCUCAUAUCUUGAUUUAGUUACAACUAACUUUCUUGAGAUAUUUUCGGUAACACUAAUUGCUCUUCUCGUUUUGCACCUGAUAGAGGCUUAAUUCAUUUUGAUUUUUCUUAUAAUUGUGGUGUCUGACCACUUUGCGCACCUCGCUUAAUUCCACAAGACUACUUGUUACCUCCUACCAACACAAGUGCUAGGUAACUCAACCCAAUAUGGCUUAGACAAAUGGAAAAACAUCAGCUGGAAUUUGAACCUCAGACCCACUUCAUUGAUCACAACGCCACACCCUUGGGUACUCAUUUAAGCUUUAUGUAACUAAACUCAUUUUCCAACAAAAAUUGGCCAACUAGCUUGCUAGAUAAUAUAAUUGAAAAACGAAUGAAAACACAUUACAACGCUCUUAAAAUAUUAUUCUCUCAGGGCCAAUUUAUGUGGUGGAAUUCGACUCAACACAAAGUUUAAGAAAAGAACUUUUGGACUUAUGGCCUUGAACCUACCAUGAGAUUCUUGUGACUAAAAAAGUAUGACAUUAAGGGUAAAAUGAAAAAAUUUAAAUGAAAUAUUUCUAAAUAAAAGGUAUCAUUCUUUUGGAAUGGACUAAUAAGAACUAUGACAUAUAAUAAGUAAUAGAGGGAGUAUUAAAGAGUAUUACAAAUAAUUUCUUAAUAACCAGAUAAGAAGUUUGAAAGAUACACAUGAAAAAUGAAUCAAAAAAUAUUAUUAUCUUUUUAUGCUUCAUUGUUAAAUACUUUUAUUUCUUUAGAUUUUUCAAAGGAUUGUUGUCCAAAGAUAAAAGAUGGUCAAACUAGGGAAAAGAUAAGUUAGUUUACCGGAAAGUUCUAAAUCAUAUGUCUGCGUGUUGUGCUCCACAUAGGAUCAGCAUGAAUGCCUACAUAACCUGCCCAUACACAUCAGGAUGAGAUGGAGAAAAAUAAAGCAAGAUAAGAAUAACUGCCUUGUAAGAGAAGGCAAUACAUACAAUCCAGACAAGAACAUGAAUUAUAGAUCUUACAUAUCAA
This 4741-nucleotide long non-coding RNA is filed under the name Solanum tuberosum (potato). RNAcentral's name for it is "long non-coding RNA (STUB_LNC004342)". The record is from RNAcentral. Lineage: Eukaryota; Viridiplantae; Streptophyta; Magnoliopsida; Solanales; Solanaceae.